UACGGAGGGGGCUAGCGUUGUUCGGAAUUACUGGGCGUAAAGCGCACGUAGGCGGAUCGUUAAGUUAGGGGUGAAAUCCCAGGGCUCAACCCUGGAACUGCCUCUAAUACUGGCGGUCUUGAGUUCGAGAGAGGUGAGUGGAAUUCCGAGUGUAGAGGUGAAAUUCGUAGAUAUUCGGAGGAACACCAGUGGCGAAGGCGACUCACUGGCUCGAUACUGACGCUGAGGUGCGAAAGCAUGGGGAGCAAACAGG
Molecule: ribosomal RNA, 253 nt
Filed under: uncultured bacterium
Lineage: Bacteria
Description: partial 16S ribosomal RNA
Rfam family: Bacterial small subunit ribosomal RNA
Source: RNAcentral